Molecule: non-coding RNA, 163 nt
Filed under: Candidatus Avimonas caecicola
Lineage: Bacteria; Bacillati; Bacillota; Clostridia
Description: Lysine riboswitch
Rfam family: Lysine riboswitch aptamer
About the family: Riboswitches are metabolite binding domains within certain messenger RNAs that serve as precision sensors for their corresponding targets. Allosteric rearrangement of mRNA structure is mediated by ligand binding, and this results in modulation of gene expression. This family includes riboswitches that sense lysine in a number of genes involved in lysine metabolism, including lysC.
Source: RNAcentral
AGAUAGAGGCGCGCCGAACGAAGAGUAACCGCGGGAGACCCCGGGUCCGUGAACGCGGCGGAAGGCGUCGGCGCCGAAGGGCGGCAUUCUCCGGAAGAGGCCGUUCCUGGCUGUGCGGCAAAUAGCCGUACGGCUGUCAUCACACAGCGGAUGAAGCGCUAUU